RNAcentral lists this long non-coding RNA (1131 nucleotides) under Salmo salar (Atlantic salmon). RNAcentral's name for it is "lncRNA (ENSSSAG00000117294.1)". The record is from RNAcentral. Lineage: Eukaryota; Metazoa; Chordata; Actinopteri; Salmoniformes; Salmonidae.
CACAGAAAAGGGACUCAAAGUUGUCACUCAACUUUCAUUUUUUUGUGUUGUUGUCAUCCAAGACUUUGAGGAGAGGAAGAGAGAGGAAGAGGAAGAAAUGUGACAACAUGCAGUCAACCACGUGUUCAUGAAGGGUACGGUAUCUAUGUGUGAAUGGGGUAGUACUGCCGUAUUAUGGGGGAGAGAGAGGGAGGAUGUCAGAGAGGUGGGAGGAGGAGAGAGGUGGGAGGAUGUCAGAGAAGUGGGAGGAGGAGAGAGGUGGGAGGAUGAGAGAGGUGGGAGGAUGAGAGAGGUGGGAGGAGGGGAAAGGUGGGAGGAUGAGAGAGGUGGGAGGAGGAGAGAGGUGGGAGUAGGGGAGAGGUGGGAGGAUGUCAGAGAGGUGGGAGGAUGUCAGAGAAGUGGGAGGAUGUCAGAGAAGUGGGAGGAUGUCAGAGAAGUGGGAGGAUGUCAGAGAGGUGGGAGGAUGUCAGAGAAAGGUAACAAACGAGAGAUGAAUAGAGGACAGGAGAUAAAGAGAAGAAAUAAAGCAGCCAAUCAGGACUCCUGGUCCAAAAGGGCGCUAGGCUGAGUUAACAGCGUCACUGCAUGCAGAGCUUUAUUUUUUUCCUCUCUCAGUUAUAGAAAAACUGUUGUAACUAUGAACCACUGAUUAACGUAGGUUCAUUUACUAUGUGAAUUUAUUGCGGUUAAAACAAUGACAUGUUCAGACAGACUUCAGAUCAGAAACUGAAUUGUACUCAACUUGGUCUUGAAUGAACAGAGCACAUUCACCUAGACACAGAGCAAAGCUGCGGUACCUGAUGGACUUCCCCCUCCCAUACACUCUACUGUCCUAAUGAAGUUCUCUUCACAUUUACAAACCCAAUGUUCAAUGUUCAUAUUCCCUCAUCUCUCAAUGUAUGCAUCCUUACCUUCACCACCCUCUCAAACUUUUUGGCCAAAUAUUGAGCUUUGAAUGUUACCAGAAAAGUGGGAAUCAUUUAACACUGUCUCAACUUCAUGUUUUUCUACUUCUUUCUAAGGAGGGAGAGAUGCUUUCUUGUCAUCGAAGGAGGGAGAGAUGCUUUAACGUCAUCGAAGGAGGGAGAGAUGCUUUCUUGUCAUCGAAGGAGGGAGAGAUGCUUUAACGUC